GUUUCCUAAAAUGGAAAAAAUAGUCCGGAAGACACGACCGGACUGUAUGAAAAUUUUUAUAGCUUUUGGUACAUAUCAUUUGAUUGUUUAAGGAAUUACCCAAACAUAUCAUCACCAGCAACACUUUGUUAAUAAACUACUCAUCUCCUCCGGCAACUUACAAACUGGAAUCCAGACACAACUCUAUAUGUACCAGUUCUUCCUUAUUUUGGAAUAAGCUUCCAAUGCUUACAUUUUUCACAUACGUUUUUUUCUAUAGGCUGUGUCUACCGUAAAUAAAUCUUCAACCCACACGCACACACACAUAUCUGGGGGAAAGCAGGUUCAAGAAGAAAGCAGCAAUCGUAAAGGAACAUCAAGUUCCUAACGUGCUCUGGCUGGGGUGCUAGA
Molecule: long non-coding RNA, 390 nt
Organism: Ailuropoda melanoleuca (giant panda)
Lineage: Eukaryota; Metazoa; Chordata; Mammalia; Carnivora; Ursidae
Exons: 3
Source: RefSeq, a predicted model, not a curated record